Molecule: ribosomal RNA, 500 nt
Filed under: uncultured bacterium
Lineage: Bacteria
Description: partial 16S ribosomal RNA
Rfam family: Bacterial small subunit ribosomal RNA
Source: RNAcentral
AUUGAACGCUGGCGGCAGGCUUAACACAUGCAAGUCGAGCGGAGUGAUGGUGCUUGCUACUGGACCUAGCGGCGGACGGGUGAGUAAUGCUUAGGAAUCUGCCUAUUAGUGGGGGACAACAUCCCGAAAGGGAUGCUAAUACCGCAUACGUCCUACGGGAGAAAGCAGGGGAUCUUCGGACCUGGCGCUAAUAGAUGAGCCUAAGUCGGAUUAGCUAGUUGGUGGGGUAAAGGCCUACCAAGGCGACGAUCUGUAGCGGGUCUGAGAGGAUGAUCCGCCACACUGGGACUGAGACACGGCCCAGACUCCUACGGGAGGCAGCAGUGGGGAAUAUUGGACAAUGGGGGGAACCCUGAUCCAGCCAUGCCGCGUGUGUGAAGAAGGCCUUAUGGUUGUAAAGCACUUUAAGUCGGGAGGAAGGGCUGUAGGCUAAUACCUUGCAGUUUUGACGUUACCGACAGAAUAAGCACCGGCUAACUUCGUGCCAGCCGCCGCCGUAA